UACGUAGGGUGCGAGCGUUAAUCGGAAUUACUGGGCGUAAAGCGUGCGCAGGCGGCGCGUUAAGACAGGUGUGAAAGCCCCGAGCUUAACUUGGGAAUUGCGCUUGUGACUGGCGUGCUGGAGUGUGGCAGAGGGAGGUGGAAUUCCACGUGUAGCAGUGAAAUGCGUAGAUAUCGAGAGGAACACCAGUGGCGAAGGCGAGUCCCUGGACAACUCCUGACACUGAGGCACGAAAGCUAGGGGAGCAAACAGG
Molecule: ribosomal RNA, 253 nt
Filed under: uncultured bacterium
Lineage: Bacteria
Description: partial 16S ribosomal RNA
Rfam family: Bacterial small subunit ribosomal RNA
Source: RNAcentral